CUUUUAAAACACUGUGUUGAUGGGUUUAUAAAGCCAUCAAGAUGUUUCCUCAAGACUUGCGCACUUUACUGCGUAUGUGCUUUGCUGUGCAGAGCGUAACGAAGUGUGUCGGCAGGUCCUGCGUGGAGGCUGGUCUCCAGUCUGUGAGGAUUGCGCCAGAGGUGCUGUAAAGAAUCCUGCUUCAGUGGUUGCUCACCAACAGUCGGUCAAAGGAGGCUUGUUUCUCAGGGCUCCUUGAGGGCGGGGACUAUUCUCCAUUGUGACUCAGCGCCUGACACAUCUGAGUGCUCAGAAGAUGUUUGCCACGUGAAUGAAGGCCCUCUUCCUGACCGUGGAGAGCGCAGAUUGAAGCCACUUCCCUGGGUUUAGGGCUUUUGCCAUGUGUGACCUGGAACUUUGGUCUUUAGGACCAACCCCUGACCUUGUAGAGGGGCAUUUGACCUUGAAGAUCAACAUUCCAGGAUUACUCCCAACCCACUCUUUCUUCUAGGCUACAGGAGCCUGUGAGCUGGUUCUGAUGACAGGUUUGACUUGGUCUCUGAUGUGCUUACGUCUGCCUGGCUCCCUCUCCACGCAAACCUGGGCAUUUGCCUUCUUCCCGCUGGUACUGUCCUACCCCCAAGACCAGAGUCUGCCCAAGAGGCACAGUCUAGUGAUUGGUGCCCUGCAACCAGCUGAUGCUUAUCUGAUGCUAAUUCCCUGGAUUUCUAUUACAGUAGGGCUCCGCCUGCCUCGCAGGGCAUCCUGCGACAUCAUGUUAGUCCUUCAAGACUCACUGUAACCUUGUCUAUAACCUGAGUCAUUGCUCUGCUCUUCCCGGAGACUGUCUUCUCUUAGUCAGACCAGGUGCUGUCCUGCUACCUGCUGCUGCUCAUUCCUCAAGCGCCUGCCACACUCCAGCUGACAGAUCCAGUCCAGAUCCUGGGCCUCCCAAUCUACCCAUCCCACUGCUGGGCCGAGCCCAGACCUCAAAGUGAUAGAAAUGUGAAUGCACUGAAAACAGGCGCAGCCCUGAGCACGGACAGAGCAUGACUCAAGUGUAGGGGGACAAAGAUGUCCAAAUGCCACAGUGGAUGCCUACCACAGCAUGGCCAUGUCCACACCCAGGAUCUGAACCAGCAAACCCCCGGCCACUGAGAAGUGGAAUGCGUGAACUUAACCGCUGCACUACCCGGCCGGCCCCAGGAAAUUAGCUCUUUGUCAUAUGUGUUAUAAAUAGUUUCUUCAGUUUUACACUUGUCUUUUGUCUUUGUUCAUUAUAUUUUCCUGAAAAAAUUUAAAAUAUGUAAAAUUGAAUAUGUGCAAUUAAAAGACAUGCAUACAGUUCAUAUAUAUGUACAUAUGUAUUAUGUAUACCAUGAGUUUAUGUUCCUAUCCAAAUUCGACAUCACAAGUUUUUUGCCCACCUUCCCCCAUUCCCCAUUGUAUCUCUCUUUUCCCACAGAAAGCCUUGUUCCCUAAAACACUAAUAAAUUUACUCAUUACUCUUCCUACAAUACAC
RNAcentral lists this long non-coding RNA (1501 nucleotides) under Equus asinus (donkey). RNAcentral describes it as "lncRNA (ENSEASG00005026926.1)". Lineage: Eukaryota; Metazoa; Chordata; Mammalia; Perissodactyla; Equidae. The record is from RNAcentral.